This 532-nucleotide ribosomal RNA is filed under the name uncultured bacterium. Its description in RNAcentral is "bacterial SSU rRNA". It matches the Rfam family "Bacterial small subunit ribosomal RNA", at positions 62 to 600 of the family's 1533-position model. The record is from RNAcentral.
UCGGGUGCGUUAUUGGGCGUCGAGCGGCGGACGGGUGAGUAAUGCCUAGGAAAUUGCCUUGAUGUGGGGGAUAACCAUUGGAAACGAUGGCUAAUACCGCAUAAUGCCUACGGGCCAAAGAGGGGGAUCUUCGGACCUCUCGCGUCAAGAUAUGCCUAGGUGGGAUUAGCUAGUUGGUGAGGUAAUGGCUCACCAAGGCGACGAUCCCUAGCUGGUCUGAGAGGAUGAUCAGCCACACUGGAACUGAGACACGGUCCAGACUCCUACGGGAGGCAGCAGUGGGGAAUAUUGCACAAUGGGCGAAAGCCUGAUGCAGCCAUGCCGCGUGUAUGAAGAAGGCCUUCGGGUUGUAAAGUACUUUCAGUUGUGAGGAAGGGGGUAACGUUAAUAGCGUUAUCUCUUGACGUUAGCAACAGAAGAAGCACCGGCUAACUCCGUGCCAGCAGCCGCGGUAAUACGGAGGGUGCGAGCGUUAAUCGGAAUUACUGGGCGUAAAGCGCAUGCAGGUGGUUCAUUAAGUCAGAUGUGAAAG